CAACCCCGUAGUCGAAACUUCGUUCUCUCUUGAAUGUAUCCUGAGUACGGCGGAACACGUGAAAUUCCGUCGGAAUCUGGGAGGACCAUCUCCCAAGGCUAAAUACUCCCUAGUGAUCGAUAGUGAACCAGUACCGUGAGGGAAAGGUGAAAAGCACCCCGGAAGGGGAGUGAAAGAGAUCCUGAAACCGUGUGCCUACAAAUAGUCAGAGCCCGUUAAUGGGUGAUGGCGUGCCUUUUGUAGAAUGAACCGGCGAGUUACGAUCCCGUGCGAGGUUAAGUUGAAGAGACGGAGCCGCAGCGAAAGCGAGUCUGAAUAGGGCGUUUAGUACGUGGUCGUAGACCCGAAACCAGGUGAUCUACCCAUGUCCAGGGUGAAGUUCAGGUAACACUGAAUGGAGGCCCGAACCCACGCACGUUGAAAAGUGCGGGGAUGAGGUGUGGGUAGCGGAGAAAUUCCAAUCGAACCUGGAGAUAGCUGGUUCUCCCCGAAAUAGCUUUAGGGCUAGCCUUAAGUGUAAGAGUCUUGGAGGUAGAGCACUGAUUGAACUAGGGGUCCUCAUCGGAUUACCGAAUUCAGUCAAACUCCGAAUGCCAAUGACUUAUCCUUAGGAGUCAGACUGCGAGUGAUAAGAUCCGUAGUCAAGAGGGAAACAGCCCAGAUCGCCAGCUAAGGUCCCAAAGUGUGUAUUAAGUGGAAAAGGAUGUGGAGUUGCUUAGACAACUAGGAUGUUGGCUUAGAAGCAGCCACCAUUUAAAGAGUGCGUAAUAGCUCACUAGUCGAGUGACUCUGCGCCGAAAAUGUACCGGGGCUAAAUACACCACCGAAGCUGCGAAUUGAUACCAAUGGUAUCAGUGGUAGGGGAGCGUUCUAAGUGCAGUGAAGUCAGACCGGAAGGACUGGUGGAGCGCUUAGAAGUGAGAAUGCCGGUAUGAGUAGCGAAAGACGGGUGAGAAUCCCGUCCACCGAAUGCCUAAGGUUUCCUGAGGAAGGCUCGUCCGCUCAGGGUUAGUCAGGACCUAAGCCGAGGCCGACAGGCGUAGGCGAUGGACAACAGGUUGAUAUUCCUGUACCACCUCUUUAUCGUUUGAGCAAUGGAGGGACGCAGAAGGAUAGAAGAAGCGUGCGAUUGGUUGUGCACGUCCAAGCAGUUAGGCUGAUAAGUAGGCAAAUCCGCUUAUCGUGAAGGCUGAGCUGUGAUGGGGAAGCUCCUUAUGGAGCGAAGUCUUUGAUUCCCCGCUGCCAAGAAAAGCUUCUAGCGAGAUAAAAGGUGCCUGUACCGCAAACCGACACAGGUAGGCGAGGAGAGAAUCCUAAGGUGUGCGAGAGAACUCUGGUUAAGGAACUCGGCAAAAUGACCCCGUAACUUCGGGAGAAGGGGUGCUUUCUUAACGGAAAGCCGCAGUGAAUAGGCCCAAGCGACUGUUUAGCAAAAACACAGGUCUCUGCGAAGCCGUAAGGCGAAGUAUAGGGGCUGACACCUGCCCGGUGCUGGAAGGUUAAGGAGAGGGGUUAGCGUAAGCGAAGCUCUGAACUGAAGCCCCA
This 1545-nucleotide ribosomal RNA is filed under the name Klebsiella pneumoniae. RNAcentral's name for it is "partial 23S ribosomal RNA". It matches the Rfam family "Bacterial large subunit ribosomal RNA", at positions 368 to 1922 of the family's 2925-position model. The record is from RNAcentral. Lineage: Bacteria; Pseudomonadati; Pseudomonadota; Gammaproteobacteria; Enterobacterales; Enterobacteriaceae.